AGUGAACGCUGGCGGUAGGCCUAACACAUGCCAGUCGAACGGCAGCACAGUAAGAGCUUGCUCUUACGGGUGGCGAGUGACGGACGGGUGAGGAAUACAUCGGAAUCUACUUUUUCGUGGGGGAUAACGUAGGGAAACUUACGCUAAUACCGCAUACGACCUACGGGUGAAAGCAGGGGAUCUUCGGACCUUGCGCGAUUGAAUGAGCCGAUGUCGGAUUAGCUAGUUGGCGGGGUAAAGGCCCACCAAGGCGACGAUCCGUAGCUGGCCUGAGAGGAUGAUCAGCCACACUGGAACUGAGACACGGUCCAGACUCCUACGGGAGGCAGCAGUGGGGAAUAUUGGACAAUGGGCGCAAGCCUGAUCCAGCCAUACCGCGUGGGUGAAGAAGGCCUUCGGGUUGUAAAGCCCUUUUGUUGGGAAAGAAAAGCAGCAGGUUAAUACCCCGCUGUUCUGACGGUACCCAAAGAAUAAGCACCGGCUAACUUCGUG
Molecule: ribosomal RNA, 492 nt
Filed under: uncultured bacterium
Lineage: Bacteria
Description: partial 16S ribosomal RNA
Rfam family: Bacterial small subunit ribosomal RNA
Source: RNAcentral